UGGGGGAAUAUUGCACAAUGGGGGGAAACCCGUGAUGCAGCGACGCCGCGUGAGCGAAGAAGUAUUUCGGUAUGUAAAGCUCUAUCAGCAGGGAAGAUAAUGACGGUACCUGACUAAGAAGCCCCGGCUAACUACGUGCCAGCAGCC
RNAcentral lists this ribosomal RNA (147 nucleotides) under uncultured bacterium. Its description in RNAcentral is "partial 16S ribosomal RNA". It matches the Rfam family "Bacterial small subunit ribosomal RNA", at positions 354 to 516 of the family's 1533-position model. The record is from RNAcentral.